RNAcentral lists this ribosomal RNA (668 nucleotides) under Pseudomonas sp. Its description in RNAcentral is "bacterial SSU rRNA". It matches the Rfam family "Bacterial small subunit ribosomal RNA", at positions 22 to 685 of the family's 1533-position model. Lineage: Bacteria; Pseudomonadati; Pseudomonadota; Gammaproteobacteria; Pseudomonadales; Pseudomonadaceae. The record is from RNAcentral.
GCUCAGAUUGAACGCUGGCGGCAGGCCUAACACAUGCAAGUCGAGCGGUAGAGAGAAGCUUGCUUCUCUUGAGAGCGGCGGACGGGUGAGUAAUGCCUAGGAAUCUGCCUGGUAGUGGGGGAUAACGUUCGGAAACGGACGCUAAUACCGCAUACGUCCUACGGGAGAAAGCAGGGGACCUUCGGGCCUUGCGCUAUCAGAUGAGCCUAGGUCGGAUUAGCUAGUUGGUGAGGUAAUGGCUCACCAAGGCAACGAUCCGUAACUGGUCUGAGAGGAUGAUCAGUCACACUGGAACUGAGACACGGUCCAGACUCCUACGGGAGGCAGCAGUGGGGAAUAUUGGACAAUGGGCGAAAGCCUGAUCCAGCCAUGCCGCGUGUGUGAAGAAGGUCUUCGGAUUGUAAAGCACUUUAAGUUGGGAGGAAGGGUUGUAGAUUAAUACUCUGCAAUUUUGACGUUACCGACAGAAUAAGCACCGGCUAACUCUGUGCCAGCAGCCGCGGUAAUACAGAGGGUGCAAGCGUUAAUCGGAAUUACUGGGCGUAAAGCGCGCGUAGGUGGUUUGUUAAGUUGGAUGUGAAAUCCCCGGGCUCAACCUGGGAACUGCAUUCAAAACUGACUGACUAGAGUGUGGUAGAGGGUGGUGGAAUUUCCUGUGUAGCGGUGAA